CUUCCGAUAUGAUCCAGAGUACCACGGGACACGUGAAACCCCGUGGGAAGCAGGAGGGACCACCCUCCAAGGCUAAAUACUACCCGGUGACCGAUAGCGCAUAGUACCGUGAGGGAAAGGUGAAAAGAACCCCGGGAGGGGAGUGAAAUAGAACCUGAAACCCUGUACUUACAAACUGUGGAAGCACAUUUCUUGUGUGACCGCGUACUUUUUGUAGAACGGGCCAACGAGUUACGUUAUGCAGCAAGGUUAAGUACUUCAAGUAUGCAGCCGCAGCGAAAGCGAGUUUUAACUGAGCGUUUAGUUGCAUGACGUAGACCCGAAACCGGGUGACCUAUCCAUGAGCAGGUUGAAGCGAAAGUAAAAUUUCGUGGAGGACCGAACCCACGAGCGUUGAAAAGCUCGGGGAUGACUUGUGGAUAGCGGUGAAAUUCCAAUCGAACCCGGAGAUAGCUGGUUCUCCCCGAAAUAGCUUUAGGGCUAGC
This 485-nucleotide ribosomal RNA is filed under the name Acinetobacter baumannii. Its description in RNAcentral is "partial 23S ribosomal RNA". It matches the Rfam family "Bacterial large subunit ribosomal RNA", at positions 394 to 880 of the family's 2925-position model. The record is from RNAcentral. Lineage: Bacteria; Pseudomonadati; Pseudomonadota; Gammaproteobacteria; Moraxellales; Moraxellaceae.